UCAUCCUUAGUUGGUAAUGAAGGAAGCUCCAACUUCUGGUCAGAAGCCUUCUCAGAAGAUAGAGAAGCAAGCUGAGCAUCUUCAUCCCAUUCCUUUUUUAGGCGAGAAAGAUAAUCAUCUUUGGCCUUUUCCAGACGGAGCUUGCCUCCCUUCCAAACACACCCGUUGUACUGCAAAAGUCAAUUGGUUUAAAAAAACAAAGCAGA
Molecule: long non-coding RNA, 206 nt
Filed under: Linum usitatissimum (flax)
Lineage: Eukaryota; Viridiplantae; Streptophyta; Magnoliopsida; Malpighiales; Linaceae
Description: long non-coding RNA (LUSI_LNC000320)
Source: RNAcentral